UACAUUUUAGUAUAGGUUGUACAGUGGUUUUUGAUACCUCAGGAGAUGGAUAGUACUCAUUAAAUGUAA
RNAcentral lists this transfer RNA (69 nucleotides) under Cleroidea sp. 4 KM-2017. Its description in RNAcentral is "tRNA-Gln". The record is from RNAcentral. Lineage: Eukaryota; Metazoa; Arthropoda; Insecta; Coleoptera.